AACUCCCGAAGCAACUUAUCUUUCAAAAAAGGUUGAGGCAUUUUGCAGGAAAACAUUUGUAUAUCUUAGGUGUAGAUUUUUCUUUUUUGAUGCGCCUGAGUUAUAUAUAAUCGACAAGGAACAAGUUUUAGAAGAGAUACAAAGAUAACAACUAAAGAAGUAAGAGAUAAAGCCUCCCAAACCACAACUCUAAAAAUUCUUCCCUACUAGCAGUCGAAUAACACUUCCAUAGAACAGUUU
Molecule: small RNA, 240 nt
Filed under: Arabidopsis thaliana (thale cress)
Lineage: Eukaryota; Viridiplantae; Streptophyta; Magnoliopsida; Brassicales; Brassicaceae
Description: ATSL054850
Source: RNAcentral